This 249-nucleotide long non-coding RNA is filed under the name Cyanistes caeruleus (blue tit). RNAcentral's name for it is "lncRNA (ENSCCEG00000019505.1)". The record is from RNAcentral. Lineage: Eukaryota; Metazoa; Chordata; Aves; Passeriformes; Paridae.
AUGUCCCUACCAAAUUAUGAAUUCAUAAGAAUUUACCCUAGGAGACCUUCCAGCUGUCACCUAACAAGAGAAAUUUUAAAAGCAGCAGCUCCUUCCCUUCAUCCUGAUGGCAGACCAGCAAAAGCAAAUACUGGGAACACUGGUAGCAGUGGGGAACAUUUCUGCUUGAACACGAGCUGGUAUGAAGGACUUGUUUUGGUAUCCACUGCAGGAUACUGGGAAAGUGGGAUUUUCAGAGGUGCUGAAUGA